This 7457-nucleotide long non-coding RNA is filed under the name Citrus x clementina. RNAcentral's name for it is "Citrus clementina (C. clementina) long non-coding RNA (CCLE_LNC006741)". Lineage: Eukaryota; Viridiplantae; Streptophyta; Magnoliopsida; Sapindales; Rutaceae. The record is from RNAcentral.
AUAAUAAAUAAAUAAAUAAAGGUGGGGAAAUGGAAAUUGACUAGGUUAGUUGAGUUGAGGUCGAGGCGGCAGAGACUGGAUGACGUCAUGCUUAGAAGGGUAAGACUUUUGGAUCAAAGUCAACGGGUGGGGUCCACGCGGCGUGCACGCUCGCGUGCGACGACACAUGGGUCCCGCAAGCCCUACACUUGCCUCAGAGUCAGAGCCCUGAAAGCGAAGGCGACCCCCUCUCUUUUUGCUUGCCGCCUUAUCGUUCGUUCUUCUUCUUCUUCGUGCUUUCUUUUAUGAUAUUCUUCUAAUUUCCUAAUCAUUUGCACCCCAACCCAUUUUUACACGUACCCCCUUCAUUUUCUUCUCCAUUUCAAAUUUCUAAUAAUUGUGACACAAUUUAUCGAUUAUUGAAUAUUUUUUUAAUUCAAGGUGUGUUUGAUAUUUCUAUUUGGUACUCGAAGUCUUAAAAUAUACAUCUCUAAAAUGUUUAAUAGACACUUACAGUUGUGGAUUAUAAACUUACAUGAAUGUAUCAUAUAUUUGUAUAAUAAAAACAAAGGCAUAGCAUCACAAUACCAAUACUACUUUCCCAAUAUUAAAAUCUAAUUCAGAGAAUCAACUAAAUAAGUUCUUAUAAUUACAUAAAUAAAGAGACUCGAAUUCUCUAUUAUAAAAAUAAGGAGAGCAUGUACCGAUAAAUUCAACUAAAAAGUUGUUGUCUUGUUGAUUGUAUUUUACUAGCAAAUAACAAGUAGUUGUUAAUUAAUUGUUUCAUUUCUUUCUUUUGUGGGUAAUGGAGGUGGUUGGGCAAGUGAACGGUUUAUGUAGAAAGAACAAGCAAUCCAAUUGAUUUUCAUCACAUUCGCAACCUGGGUUGAAUCUCUCCAUCUUACAACUUGCCCAAAUGAAUCAUUUGAAUUUGGAUCUUCAAACUUCCAAGUGGGUUCUUCAUCGCAUUUGCAUGUGCCCCCCAUGUCUUUCUAAAGGUCUGCUGCCGGCAAAAUAUCAAUUGUCGCCUCACGCAGCAGCAGUGCUUGUCAUUGUCAAUGAUACUGCACAAGAUUCCAAUUUUGAGUUUUUCUCGUUCACAUUCCUCUCCAUCAACCAAAACGCUUGGGAAUAAGAAUUAGCUUUAUAAAUAAUUAGUACAACAUUAAUUAGUUUCUUAGUUUAUUAGCCGAUCGAUGAAGAUGAACAUCCUGUCAUUUGAAAAUUAUUAAUAGUCCUAAUAUAUUAAUUAUAAUUGUUAGAAUUCCUUUAUUUCUAGCUAGGGAUUAUAUAUAAAAGACGAUUAUGUAACAAUAGUGUAAUUAAGAUUGUGGUCAAUUGGUCAUGUGCAUACUAACGUGACAAAAACCAGAACCCUACUUGAAUUUCUUGACACGAGAUUUUGUCUGAUCUCUUUGUUCCUCAUGAAAAGGAAAACAAAAUGAGAAAAAUGAAAAGGCCAAGCAGCUAGCUAGCUUCACGAGAGUGACUAAGAUUGUGAAAGCGCUUCUGACCAAAGCUCAAGAAACAAAAGCAACAAUUUCAGCAGCCAAACACGCCUUACUUUCAUGGCCCAUGUUUAUAGAAUUUUUCAGUCUCACAAAGUGCUUCUAAAAUCUUCGUAUGUCCUAAUUUUUAAAUUUUAAUUAGGUCAAACUCAUUAGUACUCAAAGUAAAACACGCACCGCGUACACGCCACAAUCAUAAUAUUAUAUUAUAUUAUAUAUAUAUAUACACACCCAUACAUGAUGACUUUGGUUAGAACAAUAGUCAAUAGGUACCUAUCAAAAUACGUACCAAAAAUCAAUCUUAGAUUAACUUAAUUACUGGUGCGAUUAAAUUAAAAAUAUCUAAAACUUAGAUUGAUGUGAUAGUUAUUUAUUGUUGUCAAAAAUCAUGCAAUUCUGAAUUGGAAUAUCAUGUUUUGCUAAGUCAAUCAAUUAUCCUAGCUGUUAACAAUUUUAUAAUUAAAUGUUGUCAACUGGUUUACUUUUCUGUUGACUAUGAUAUACUCCUAGAGUCAUCAACCAACGUGAAGCAAUUUGGACGGUCUAGAUUGGUGGGUUUUUAGUUUUACUUUUAACUUACUGAGCUUUCAUUAUUCAAAAGUCAAUUCAUCUUUCAUUUUUAACUUUCUUUGUUUCAUGUCUUAGGUCUUGCCAUACUUUUUUAUUCUUUUAGUUAGACUAAAUUAAAUGGAAGUCUAAAUUCACAGAUUAAUAAUAACAUAUAGUUCAAAGUCUACCAAGCACAGUGCAAAAACAUAAGUCACAUGAAAGUGAAAUCUCAAACCUAAACAACUAUACUUAGGGUCAAUUUGGUAAUGCUGUAAUUUUUAAAAUAUUUUUUUAUAACUGUGCUGUUAAAAUAAUUAGCCGUAAAUAGAUUAGUUGAAAAUUAGGUCAAAUUUAUUUUUAAUAGUGUUGUGAGUUUUAAAAAGCAGUUGUAUGUAUUUUAUUGUUAAACUACUGUGAGAAUAUAAAUGACUUAAUUGAAGAUAAUGUUGAAUGAAAUUUAUUGACACAUUUAUAAAUAUGCAUAUAAAAUAUUUUUUAUUGUGUAUAUAUAAUAAUUGAUAACUAAAAUAAAAUCUCCUACAAACAACCUCAAAUGAUCUCUUAUAAUGAAACUUUGGAGUAGUAAUAAACAUAGGCAAAGCUAAGGUAAAUUUCAAGAAAUUUUAUUAUAAACCGUUAUAAAAUAAGUAAUGUUAAUACUGGCCUUUAGCAUGUUUUUUUUUUUUUUUGUAAUCACAAUAAAAUUAGUAAUGUUCAUAUCAAACUUUAAGAAAUGUUCGUAUUAGUCUUAAUCGAUAAUAUUUAUUGAAAGAGUAUUUUAAUUUAACUUGGAUUAAAAUAAAUUCUUAGGUGGCGUUUGUCUUUUAACUUAAUGACUUAAAGUGACUUAACUUAAUUAAUUAAGUUAAUUAGAGGUGUUUGUUUUUAUAACUUAAUGAGACUUUUUAGAUAAUUUUGACUUAAUAAAAUAAGCUAAUUUUUUUGGCUUUUUACUUAAUGGAGAAAUUUGAAUUAAGUCAAUUACUUACUAAUGUAAAAAAUAUCCAUGUUUUAUAAUUUAUUUUUCAUAUUUAUCCCAAAACUCACCCAUGGACAUUUAGCCCACAUAAAAAUAUCUAUGUUUUUUCUUUCUUAUAUUAUAUACGAUAAAAUUUGAAAUUUAUGGUAUUUUAUAUAUUAAAAUUCUAAAACAAUUAUGUAUUCACUUGAAUAUAGUUUUACUUAUAAAUGUUAAAAUAUUGUGGUAUUUAAUAUAUUAUUUAUUUGAUAUUCAAAUUUAAUAAGGAUACAAAUGUAAAAGUACAUAUUUUCAGCUUUUUCAGUUGAAAAAAACAAACAACUUAAUAUUUAUUUUCCGAGAUUCAGACGAAAAAACAAACAUAUUAUUCAGAUUCAAACAUUCAGAUUUAUUCAUAAUUCAGACUAAUUCAAGUCUAUUCAGAUUUCAGAUAAAAAAACAAACGUCACCAGUUUCACCACUGAUUAUAAAUACCCAAACUCAAAAAGUACUUUAUUUUGGGAAACAAAAGCAAUGUUUGGUAGGUGAUUGAUCAGUGUGAUCCAAGAAAGCACAAUUGGGAGAUAGGGCAAACCCCCCCGUAACCCUAAAAUGCCUAUAAAAAUAAUACAUAAGGACCAAAUAAAAACAAACGGGAACCCUACCACUUAAAGGUAAUUAAAGCAAAAACAAAUUGCUCUUCUCAAUGAGUGAGGGUAAUAAGUCAAAAUAAGUAUAUAAAAAAAUUAGAAAAUUAAAAAAUCACGUCAGGCUUAGGAAGGGUUGGCUGGCUAAGAACUAAGAAGGAUUUUCUCUUCUUCUCAGCAAUUAAGAAAGAGAAUUUAUAUUAAACUGAAUGAUAUUUCCAUUUCAUCAACUUUUUUAAGAAAUCUUUUCACAUGUAUAUUCAUUUUUUUAUGCUGUAUUUCUCUGCCAACUAAUUAAUUUGUAGCCAUUCUACAAUCCACUCUUAUUUUGUACACUCUUCCUACAAAACCAACAAAGAUUUCCACUUUGUGUUACAAGAGCCAAAAGAUAUUUAUAUAAUUUGCUUUCUGAAAGUUGGCUCUCCCUAGUGGGAUAAUGUAUUAUGGAUAGAAAUGUUUAAUUAAAAACUCAAAAUAAUUUAACCAUUACAUAUACAUGACUUUUAAAAUAGAGCCUAUAUCCAUAGUUUCUUGUUCUAGUAAGAUCUACAAAUGGUUUAGUGGCAAUAUAAUACAUUUAAGUUGCUUUACAUUCUCAACAAGAUGAUAAUUUAAUAUAGAAAUGCAAGUCUAAAACUUACUUUACCAACCAAAUUAAUAUGUGGAAUUAAUUCUAAUCUUGGAAACUUGUCCAAAUUCUUGCUAUCCUCACCAACUCCCUCCCUCCCUCCAACAUCAUCACCUAAUUAAGCUCAAAAGUUCCUCUCCCUUGGCUAUUAUUAGUAAAAUUUAUUUGUAAAUUAAAUCAGUUGUAAAAUCAUCUUAACAAUAUUCUUUCGUAAAUUUAUAUGUAUUAUUGUUGGUUGAAUUGAAGGCUUUCGGUGUUGUGUCUAAAAAGACCAUCUCUCUUGUCAUUGACUUUGCAUUGAAAUCUUUGAUUUAAAUAUUGUAUUAUCAAAUUUCAACCAUUAAAAAAGAAAUUCAAAAGAGAGGUUCUAUCAUCUUUAAAAUUUUCAAUAGGAUGAUGAGUGAAUAAACAAAUUGACUAGUGGGCAUGUGUCCUGUCACCAAAUUAAUCUUCAACCAAGACCCUUGGUGGGGUUGACUUAAGAGGGUGUGAUCUUGAUUCUUGACCCUCUUUGAUGAAACAUUCCUUUAGUCUUCAAGUGGACCCACAUUAUCACAAACCUUUGUUAUAAUCUUACAAUAUUUGAAGACUUGAGUUGAAACCUGUUCUGUUGCUUGUCCUCUUAUGCUUUUGUAAAUCAAUAUAUUUUUUUCUUUUGGGUCGGUGAAUUAUAAUUUAUCUUCUUUGUCCUCUAGCUUUAUUAUAAGGUUACAAGUACUAUUCAUUCAAGAAUUAAUGCAAUCAAAAUUCUUCUUUUGGCAGUAACUUUCGAAUUUUUUAUUGAUAGUGAUUAGUGGAACUAUUCAUGUUAAUAAUAUCAAAAAUUUUGAUCCAUAAUAAGAAGGCAAAAGGUACAUCAUAUUUGGGUAAUGUUUAGAGAGGCUGGCAUUUAAGUUCUUGUUAAUGUGAUUUUUUGUUUGUUGGAUGAUAGAAUAGUAAUUUGCAAGUUAUGGAAUUCAUAGUAACACAUAGUUGUUGGGACUCAAUUAAAUUGAUUCAACUAUAUUAAGUUAAACUUGGGAGUUUGGGUCGAGUCUUAGUGGAUUCUUUUCUCAUUCUAAAUAUAAAUUCAUAUAUAUAUUUAGAAAUUAUUUUCUCUCUUACUAGCUUGUGGGUGGAGCUUACUUUUUCUUACUAGUUGGUGGAGGAGCUACUAUUAUUCUAAAUUUAUAAGAAAUUUGUGGACAUUAAUUCUGAAAUGUAUUUGUGAACAAUUUGUAAAGAUAAAACUUUGGGCAGUAUUGUAAUAGUAUUGAAUUAAAUUCUAAUUGUAAAUAUAUCAAUUAUAUCGUAUCCCAUUAAAAAAAAUUAUUGAAAUCUCUAAUAUCAUUGUAAAUAUUUAUCUUUUCAUUUAUUUUUUCUCUUGUCUAUUUCAAGUAUGAAGACUAGUAUUUUAAAUCCCCCACACAAUUUUAAAGGACAAAUUAGUGCCCUCAUGGGGCAAAUAAGAUUCAUAUAUAAUUGGCAAUCACUUACAAUCAAUUAUACAACAUUUUUUUUAAGUUAAGCAUCGUGGGACACAUAUCUGGCCAACAAGUGCAGAGCAUGACUUCAUCUCUACAUCAUCCAAAGGUAUAUGCCCUCUAUUAUAUGGCUAUGAUAAAUAUUUGAAGGACCAUUUCAUAAAAGCAUUUGUGGUGACCAUAGUCUAUAGGGCCAUAGAGAGUAAUGAGCUAUUUUAAAGGGUUCAUGAUUGUGUAAAUUGAAGAAAAGAGAUUGAAUGGACCUACUUCUAGUAUUUUAUUUCUUCACUGCUAAUGAUUGAUAUGUUUAUGUUCAGACCAUUCCUACAAAACAAUACCUGCAAAAAUAAGUUACUUUUAUUCAUUGGUUUAGUGGAUCACAGUCCAUUAGGAGUCUUCGCAGAUCAAAUUUUAUAGAUUGCACAUUAAUUUAUAUCCGACACAUGAUUUUACAGAUUAUAAAUUUUCAAUUCAAUUCAAUUCAAAUACAAUCUAUACAUCUACAGAUCGGAUGCUGAUUUGACUCAAUCCAUAUUCAUCUACCAUUUUGCACAUUGGUUUGUGGAUAAAAAAUUUUUAAUUCUGUCCAAUCUAUGAAUUAAUUAAAUAAAAAAUCUUAUAUAAAAAUAAUUUUACUAUCGAUCAAAAUCAAUAUUAAAUAAGAUUUAAAUUAAUUAAUUAUUUAUAAAAAAGUUAGAAUAAUACAUUCAAAGUUUCAAAUAUAUAACACACCGAAAAGAACAAUUUAAUAUUUGUUUAUUUUCAUUAUUCAAUUAUUUUUAUUUUACAUUAUUAUUGGAUAUGAUAUAAUAUGGUUUUAACGUAACUACAUUUUAACUUAUUUACUUAUUAGCAAGUAGUAACACCACAUUUAUAAGUUUUACUCUUAAUUAAAUAAACUUUUUUUAUUCUUUUUGUAUAUUCGCGAGUUUUUGUGGGUUUAUAGAAGUAAAUCCAUGUUUAAUCCACCAUCGAAUUUUUUACGGAUUAAAUUUUUACAGAUAAGGUGAAUUAAACAAAUUAGAUUAUAUUAUGAACACCAUACAAUCCAUAACAAAAAUUCAUUAGCUAAGCGGCUAAGCCAGACAUAUUUCAAUAAAUUCGUGAGUGCACAACAAAAAACAAUAUUUCACUUUGUACUACUUGGUGAAUUUUUUUUUCCUUUUAUUUUUGAACCUAUUGCUUGAUUAGUUAUAUCCAUUGUGUUUGCUUGUAGAAUAGGUUCAGUCUCAAUGACUCGUUAUUAAAUUUUAAUUAUUCAUGUUAUUUUAAGUUUAGGGGAGAGUUUUUUUUUAUGGGGUGAAAGUAUCAAUUCAGCACAUUGAAGUGACGUGUCCUACCAAUUAAAACUUACUUAUUGGAGCGACAAUGUUUAGAUCAGGCCACCACCAGCUGCCCCACCUCGAGGGAUUUAAUUUUGCGUAUAUACGACCCUUCUAAGUAUUCUAAGUGGCUUAUACUUAGCUUGAGUUAAUAGAGUUGAAGACCCAUCUUGCCAAAUGACCCACAGAGACGAGCCACCAGCGGAGCUUUUAACACCCUUCAAAAAAUCUUUACAACACUCCUUUGAAUUCUAUUCUUUAAAGUAUCCGAACUUAAUCUAUAAAAUAGUAACUCAUUAAUUAAAAUCAAUCAUCUUGUCAUUAAAAUUUCACCUUAAAAAGAGUAGUUCUUUUAAAUUUUUAUUCAUAAAUGCAUAAAAAUCCUAAAAUCUCAAAUUAUUUU